This is a long non-coding RNA of Ornithodoros turicata, 311 nucleotides long. RefSeq lists it as uncharacterized. The transcript is spliced from 6 exons. NCBI's taxonomy places the organism in Eukaryota, Metazoa, Arthropoda, Arachnida, Ixodida, Argasidae. The record is from RefSeq and is a predicted model, not a curated record.
CAGGUGGGUUGGACCUUGAAGAAGGGCCUCCAAAGUAUGGCCUCAGGAAAUCAAGAGGUCAGAUGGUACUGGAAGAAAAGCUUUCGAUAUAUGUCCCCAGGAAGCAGAAAUAGAUUAGUGGGUUGAGCCUUGAAGAAGGGCCUCAAAAGUCAGAUGGUACUGGAAGAAAGGCUUUCGAAAUACGUCCCCAGGAAGCACAAACAGACCGGGCCUUGAAGAAGCGCCUUUGAAGUAUUGCCUCAGGAAAUCAAUAGGUCCGAUUGUACUGGAAGAAAGGCUUUCGAAAUAUGUCUCCAGGAAGCACAAAGAGG